GCCACGGUGGCUCAGUGGCUAGAGCGCCACCUUGGUAAGGUGGAUGUCGUGGGUCCGAAUCCCACCCGUGGCU
RNAcentral lists this transfer RNA (73 nucleotides) under Nitrososphaerota archaeon. Its description in RNAcentral is "tRNA-Thr". It matches the Rfam family "tRNA". From Rfam's summary of the family: Transfer RNA (tRNA) molecules are approximately 80 nucleotides in length. The record is from RNAcentral. RNAcentral also lists the same sequence under 1 other name. Lineage: Archaea; Thermoproteati; Nitrososphaerota.